CAGCAGCCGCGGGAAUACGGAGGGUGCAAGCGUUAAUCGGAAUUACUGGGCGUAAAGCGCACGCAGGCGGUCUGUCAAGUCGGAUGUGAAAUCCCCGGGCUCAACCUGGGAACUGCAUUCGAAACUGGCAGGCUAGAGUCUUGUAGAGGGGGGUAGAAUUCCAGGUGUAGCGGUGAAAUGCGUAGAGAUCUGGAGGAAUACCGGUGGCGAAGGCGGCCCCCUGGACAAAGACUGACGCUCAGGUGCGAAAGCGUGGGGAGCAAACAGGAUUAGAUACCCGGGUAGUCCCUGUCUCUUAUAC
This 301-nucleotide ribosomal RNA is filed under the name uncultured bacterium. RNAcentral describes it as "partial 16S ribosomal RNA". It matches the Rfam family "Bacterial small subunit ribosomal RNA", at positions 509 to 807 of the family's 1533-position model. The record is from RNAcentral.